This 527-nucleotide long non-coding RNA is filed under the name Pan troglodytes (chimpanzee). Its description in RNAcentral is "long non-coding RNA NONPTRT016856". The record is from RNAcentral. Lineage: Eukaryota; Metazoa; Chordata; Mammalia; Primates; Hominidae.
AAUUUGCUAUAUUCCUCCAAACAGUGUUGCUUUUAUUUAUUUUUUUAGACUGUUUAAGCAGAUAGCUUGAUUGAACUCUAACUGCAGACUGUAUCUCUUGGUAAGCAGCUAAAAUCUCAGAUGAGCUUCUUCAUCCUUUUCAGGGAUACUUGCAGUCAAAAUGAAGAAAACAGAUAGUGGAUGUUUUUUCAGUUAUUUAAGUAUAAAUUUGGGACCUUCCGCUCUACUUUUAACUUAGUAAAAUUAGAUAUAAUUACAGUAACUCCUCAUCUCUUUUUGGAGAACAAGAAGUACCUUUUUUCCAAAAUGACAUUGAUUUAUUGUUUAUGUCCAAAUAAUUAAAUAACUGACAAAUUAAUUAGGAUAACCCAGUACACAUUCAAUGAGAGCACUUUAAUAAUUUAAAAUGCUGGUGUAAUUACACAGGAAAGCAUGCCUGAGGUGUCCUGGCAGAGCCCAAUUUAUGAAUUUCUAAAGUGAAACCAUUUUUUAUAAAUUGUUUUAGGGUCAACAUGCAAAGAAAACAC